AUUGUUAUUUUUAUUUUUUUUUUUUCAAUGAAUCCAAAAUAUUAGCAAAUAUUAAUCCCCACAUGAUAGGCUUACUGGCCUAUAAGGUAAUCACUAAGGUAGCCAUCCACAGUUAAACCUGAGGAUUUACUGUGCCACAUGUAUGUUUUAAAAUGAAAACAUUCAUAAGGCUACAUUUUUUUCAAACAAUUAUUAGGCUAUUUUAAACGCUUAGUAUUCCAUG
Molecule: long non-coding RNA, 223 nt
Organism: Sander lucioperca (pikeperch)
Lineage: Eukaryota; Metazoa; Chordata; Actinopteri; Perciformes; Percidae
Exons: 3
Source: RefSeq, a predicted model, not a curated record